CUACGGGGGGCAGCAGUGGGGAAUCUUAGACAAUGGGGGAAACCCUGAUCUAGCGAUGCCGCGUGAGUGAUGAAGGCCUUAGGGUCGUAAAGCUCUUUCGCCAGGGAAGAUAAUGACUGUACCUGGUAAAGAAACCCCGGCUAACUCCGUGCCAGCAGCCGCGGUAAUACGGAGGGGGUUAGCGUUGUUCGGAAUUACUGGGCGUAAAGCGCACGUAGGCGGAUCAGAAAGUUAGAGGUGAAAUCCCAGGGCUCAACCCUGGAACUGCCUUUAAAACUCCUGGUCUUGAGUUCGAGAGAGGUGAGUGGAAUUCCAAGUGUAGAGGUGAAAUUCGUAGAUAUUUGGAGGAACACCAGUGGCGAAGGCGGCUCACUGGCUCGAUACUGACGCUGAGGUGCGAAAGCGUGGGGAGCAAACAGGAUUAGAUACCCUAGUAGUC
RNAcentral lists this ribosomal RNA (439 nucleotides) under uncultured bacterium. RNAcentral describes it as "partial 16S ribosomal RNA". It matches the Rfam family "Bacterial small subunit ribosomal RNA", at positions 339 to 795 of the family's 1533-position model. The record is from RNAcentral.